UACGUAGGGAGCAAGCGUUGUCCGGAAUCAUUGGGCGUAAAGCGCGCGUAGGCGGCCCGGUAAGUCCGUUGUGAAAGUCAAAGGCUCAACCUUUGAAAGCCGAUGGAUACUGCCGGGCUGGAGUCCGGAAGAGGCGAGUGGAAUUCCUGGUGUAGCGGUGGAAUGCGCAGAUAUCAGGAGGAACACCAAUAGCGAAGGCAGCUCGCUGGGACGGUACUGACGCUGAUGCGCGAAAGCCAGGGGAGCGAACGGG
Molecule: ribosomal RNA, 253 nt
Filed under: uncultured bacterium
Lineage: Bacteria
Description: partial 16S ribosomal RNA
Rfam family: Bacterial small subunit ribosomal RNA
Source: RNAcentral